UUUGUAUGUUAUAAUUAUAAAUUUAGUCUCAAAUUACACGUUUUUAUAUGUCAUAAAUUAUUUACGAUCACAAUUUACCAAAUUAUUCUCUUAUCCCUCUGUAACAAAUAUUUGCCAAGUGGGGAGGGGGUUGGGAAGCCCAGUUGAUGAGAUAUAUAUACACACAUACAGAUCACAAUGUAAAAUAUCGUGUUUCUCUGUGUACUUCACUACGAUAAAAGUUCUAAAAAUCCAAACCCACAUCGACAAAUAAAAAAUUGAAGAUCUGUCAAUUUCAUAAUCAAAACCAACCACUUUCUCAAAAUAGCUGCCAUUUUUUAUAAAUUCACCAAAUAGUUCUUUGCUUUUGGUAAUAACUCUUCUUUGUUUUUGGUGCGGCAAAAGAUCUGAUUCUGGUAAUUUGUAGACUAUUAUGGGGAAAAAACAAGGAGAGACUGGACGCAGAUCUAUGGAGUAGAAGAUUGGCAAACGCCAUUGUUUCUCCUUAUUCAUGCUAUAGCCUUUUCAAUUCUUUCACUAAUCUUCCUGAGUUAGUGGGGGAACCACGAGCUUCAUCGCACUGCACACUGUUGCGACGGUGCUUGCGUAAUUCGAAAUAGUCAUUGGAGGUGAUUGCUACAGGAAUAUUUUUGGUGGUUGUUGUGUGGUAUAGAUGGUGAAUUGUUGAGUGUGGUGUUGGCGAAGUGGUGCCGGCCGUGUGGUGGCGACUGUGCUUCCUGGUGCUGACUGGAGAAAGGAGAGGUGGGAUAGAGAGAGAAGUUGUAUGGUAGAGAUGGUGAGGUUGUUGAGUGUGGUGGCGACGGUGCUUCCCGACGUUGGCUAGAGAGAGGAGAGGCGGGAUAGAGAGGAGAGAAAAUAGGAAUGGAUGAAACGUAUUACGAUUUUAGCGUGGGUGGUUGGGUAUGGGUCAGGUUGGAUAAAUGUGUAUAUUUAAUUUUGUAAUUAUAUUUUUAUUAGUUUUAAUUAUUAAAUUUAAUUAACACCUGAUUAUGGAAAAUGAAAC
RNAcentral lists this long non-coding RNA (1003 nucleotides) under Olea europaea subsp. europaea. The record is from RNAcentral. Lineage: Eukaryota; Viridiplantae; Streptophyta; Magnoliopsida; Lamiales; Oleaceae.